RNAcentral lists this ribosomal RNA (482 nucleotides) under uncultured bacterium. Its description in RNAcentral is "partial 16S ribosomal RNA". It matches the Rfam family "Bacterial small subunit ribosomal RNA", at positions 30 to 507 of the family's 1533-position model. The record is from RNAcentral.
AUUGAACGCUGGCGGCAUGCUUUACACAUGCAAGUCGAACGGUAACAGGCCGCAAGGUGCUGACGAGUGGCGCACGGGUGAGUAAUGCAUCGGAACGUGCCCAGUCGUGGGGGAUAACUACUCGAAAGAGUAGCUAAUACCGCAUACGAUCUAUGGAUGAAAGCGGGGGACCGUAAGGCCACGCGCGAUUGGAGCGGCCGAUGUCAGAUUAGGUAGUUGGUGGGGUAAAGGCUCACCAAGCCAACGAUCUGUAGCUGGUCUGAGAGGACGACCAGCCACACUGGGACUGAGACACGGCCCAGACUCCUACGGGAGGCAGCAGUGGGGAAUUUUGGACAAUGGGCGCAAGCCUGAUCCAGCAAUGCCGCGUGCAGGAAGAAGGCCUUCGGGUUGUAAACUGCUUUUGUACGGAACGAAACGGCUCUGGUUAAUACCCGGGGCUAAUGACGGUACCGUAAGAAUAAGCACCGGCUAACUACGUG